Molecule: long non-coding RNA, 594 nt
Filed under: Cicer arietinum (chickpea)
Lineage: Eukaryota; Viridiplantae; Streptophyta; Magnoliopsida; Fabales; Fabaceae
Description: long non-coding RNA (CARI_LNC003483)
Source: RNAcentral
GUGGCUGUUCGUCGCUCUUGCCUCUCUGUUCACCUCUCUAUUUUGUUAGUUCUGAUUUUUGUUAGUUUUGAUUUGGAAUUCGGAUUUCUAUUUUGUUAGUUUUGAUUUUGUUAGUGCAACUUUUUGCUUAUGUUCUUCAGUUAUCAUGAAAUUUAGAGUUUAUUUUGUUACUGUUGAGUUUGGAGCUUUGAUUUGGAGUUGAAAUUUUGAUUUAGAGUUUCAAUUUAUGAUUUUUGUUUAGAGUUUUUGGGUUGCACAUAAGGUGUUUGAUUUUAUGUUUAUAUAAAGUAUUUGAGUUUUUUUUGUUGCACAUAAGUUGUUUGAUUUUAUGUUCAUAUAGAGUGUUUGAAUUUUUUUUGUUGCAUAGAAGGUGUUUGAGUUUUGUUGCAUUUUUGUUUGAGUUUUUUUGUCCAUAUAAAGUGUUUUAGUUUUUUUUUUUUUUUUGCAUAUAAGAUGUUUUAUGUUUCUUAAAUUGAUUGAUUUAGAUAAGUUUGUGAGAAUAAAGAAGAGUAAAAAAAUUGAUUGAUUUAGAUAAGUGUUUUAUGUUGCAUAUAAGGUUCAGAUGUUUUUAUGUCGGCCACCCCAAAAUUAUCG